UGGUAGCUCAGUCGGUAGAGCAGAGGACUGAAAAUCCUCGUGUCGGUGGUUCGAUUCCGCCCC
Molecule: transfer RNA, 63 nt
Filed under: human gut metagenome
Also listed under: 1 other name
Rfam family: tRNA
About the family: Transfer RNA (tRNA) molecules are approximately 80 nucleotides in length. Their secondary structure includes four short double-helical elements and three loops (D, anti-codon, and T loops). Further hydrogen bonds mediate the characteristic L-shaped molecular structure. tRNAs have two regions of fundamental functional importance: the anti-codon, which is responsible for specific mRNA codon recognition, and the 3' end, to which the tRNAs corresponding amino acid is attached (by aminoacyl-tRNA synthetases). tRNAs cope with the degeneracy of the genetic code in two manners: having more than one tRNA (with a specific anti-codon) for a particular amino acid; and 'wobble' base-pairing, i.e. permitting non-standard base-pairing at the 3rd anti-codon position.
Source: RNAcentral